This 2541-nucleotide ribosomal RNA is filed under the name Enterococcus avium. Its description in RNAcentral is "bacterial LSU rRNA". It matches the Rfam family "Bacterial large subunit ribosomal RNA", at positions 1 to 2478 of the family's 2925-position model. The record is from RNAcentral. Lineage: Bacteria; Bacillati; Bacillota; Bacilli; Lactobacillales; Enterococcaceae.
GUUAAGUGAAUAAGGGCGCACGGUGGAUGCCUUGGCACUAGGAGCCGAUGAAGGACGGGACUAACACCGAUAUGCUUCGGGGAGCUGUAAGUAAGCUUUGAUCCGGAGAUUUCCGAAUGGGGAAACCCAGCAUCUUUUAUAGGAUGUUACUUUUCAGUGAAUACAUAGCUGAUUAGAGGUAGACGCAGAGAACUGAAACAUCUAAGUACCUGCAGGAAGAGAAAGAAAAAUCGAUUCCCUGAGUAGCGGCGAGCGAAACGGGAAAAGCCCAAACCAAGAGGCUUGCCUCUUGGGGUUGUAGGACUCCGAUAUGGUAGUCCAGUGAGAUAGUCGAGGGACCUGGAAAGGUCUGCUAGAAAGGGUAAAAGCCCCGUAGACAAAAUUUGACUGGCACCUAGGAGGAUCCUGAGUACGGCGGAACACGAGGAAUUCCGUCGGAAUCCGGGAGGACCAUCUCCCAAGGCUAAAUACUCCAUAGUGACCGAUAGUGAACCAGUACCGUGAGGGAAAGGUGAAAAGCACCCCGGAAGGGGAGUGAAACAGAUCCUGAAACCGUGUGCCUACAACAAGUUAUAGCCCGUUAAUGGGUGAUAGCGUGCCUUUUGUAGAAUGAACCGGCGAGUUACGAUUACUUGCGAGGUUAAGUUGAAAAGACGGAGCCGCAGCGAAAGCAAGUCUGAAUAGGGCGAAUGAGUAAGUGGUCGUAGACCCGAAACCAUGUGAUCUACCCAUGUCCAGGUUGAAGGUGCGGUAAAACGCACUGGAGGACCGAACCCACGUACGUUGAAAAGUGCGGGGAUGAGGUGUGGGUAGCGGAGAAAUUCCAAACGAACUUGGAGAUAGCUGGUUCUCUCCGAAAUAGCUUUAGGGCUAGCCUCAGAGUAAGAAUGAUGGAGGUAGAGCACUGUUUGGACUAGGGGCCCAUCUCGGGUUACCGAAUUCAGAUAAACUCCGAAUGCCAUCCAUUCAUCUCUGGGAGUCAGACUGUGAGUGAUAAGAUCCAUAGUCGAAAGGGAAACAGCCCCAGACCACCAGCUAAGGUCCCCCAAAUAACUAUUAAGUGGAAAAGGAUGUGGGGUUGCACAGACAACUAGGAUGUUGGGUUAGAAGCAGCCACCAUUUAAAGAGUGCGUAAAUAGCUCACNUAGUCGGUGUGACCCUUGGCGCCGGAAAAAUGGUACCGGGGGGCUAAAAUAAGUUUUAACCGGAAAGACUGUUGGAAAACACCACCCCAAUGGGUUGUGUUUGGGUAGGCAAGAGGCGUUCCUAAAGGGGGCGUUGAAAGGGUAGCAUCGGUGGAGGGACUGGCUGGAGGCGGCUUAAGAAAGUGAAGAAAUGCCGGGGUAUGAAGUAGGCGAAAAGAACAGGGUGAAGAAAUCCUGUCNNCACCCGAAAUGACCUAAAGGUUUUCCCUGGGGGAAGGCUCCGUCNNCGCCCCAGGGUNNUAGUACGGGACNUAAGCCGAGGGGCCGAAAGGNCGUAGGCGAUGGAUAACAGGUUGAUAUUCCUGUACCCGUUGUUUUUGUUUGAGCAAUGGAGGGACGCAGGAGGCUAAGGAAUCAGACGAUUGGAGAUGUCUGUCCAAGCAAUGAGUCUUGAUGUGAGUCAAAUGCUUACAUCUCUAAGGACAAGUUGUGAUGGGGAGGGAAAUAACAGUACCGAAGUUCCUGAUGUCACACUGCCGAGAAAAGCUUCUAGUGAGAAAACAAUGGCCCGUACCGCAAACCGACACAGGUAGUCGAGGAGAGAAUCNUAAGGUGAGCGAGAGAACUCUCGUUAAGGAACUCGGCAAAAUGACCCCGUAACUUCGGGAGAAGGGGUGCUGAUCUAACGAUCAGCCGCAGUGAAUAGGCCCAAGCGACUGUUUAUCAAAAACACAGGUCUCUGCAAAAUCGAAAGAUGACGUAUAGGGGCUGACGCCUGCCCGGUGCUGGAAGGUUAAGAGGAGUGCUUAGCGUAAGCGAAGGUACGAAUUGAAGCCCCAGUAAACGGCGGCCGUAACUAUAACGGUCCUAAAGUAGCGAAAUUCCUUGUCGGGUAAGUUCCGACCCGCACGAAAGGCGUAACGAUUUGGGCACUGUCUCAACGAGAGACUCGGUGAAAUUUUAGUACCUGUGAAGAUGCAGGUUACCCGCGACAGGACGGAAAGACCCCAUGGAGCUUUACUGCAGUUUGAUAUUGAGUGUUUGUACCACGUGUACAGGAUAGGUAGGAGCCGUAGAAGUCGGGACGCUAGUUUCGACAGAGGCGCUGGUGGGAUACUACCCUUGUGUUAUGACCACUCUAACCCGCACCACUAAUCGUGGUGGGAGACAGUGUCAGAUGGGCAGUUUGACUGGGGCGGUCGCCUCCUAAAGAGUAACGGAGGCGCCCAAAGGUUCCCUCAGAAUGGUUGGAAAUCAUUCGCAGAGUGUAAAGGCACAAGGGAGCUUCACUGCGAGACCUACAAGUCGAGCAGGGACGAAAGUCGGGAAUAGUGAUCCGGUGGUUCCGCAUGGAAGGGCCAUCGAUCAACGAAUAAAAGCAAUCACUAGUGAAUUC